Molecule: long non-coding RNA, 463 nt
Organism: Scatophagus argus
Lineage: Eukaryota; Metazoa; Chordata; Actinopteri; Scatophagidae
Exons: 5
Source: RefSeq, a predicted model, not a curated record
CUGUGAUCAAAGCAAAGGGAGGUGAAGAUAAGGUAUAUAAGCACUGGAUUUCCCUCUCAAAGACACUCUGCUACCUGCUACUGCUGCAAGUGCAAACUCACCUGAUCGUCACAACAAGAUGGGUCUUGGUAUCAUUCCUCUCUUCACGGCUACGGCCUGUGGAAUGUCACUUGAACCAGGUCUCAUGGCUAUAAUCCCCCUCUGCUCUGGGGAAUACUGAUGGGAGCACAUGCAUCCGACACAUCUACAGGGAGAGAUGAUGGCAGCCAUAGCGACUGUGAUGGGAAGGCCUCCUCUUUCUGUGCCAGGCACCUGUGAAGAUCCCCACCAGGUGCUGACACACGUGCCAUCAGGAUCCCCACUGAUGAUGUCACUUCCAGCAGUAUGACAUCACUGCUGGCAAAUCUAUUGACAGUUCUGAUGAAAUUUCAGCACAAUCAAUAAACAGAUGCAAACUCCCCAA